UGGGGAAGUAUUGCACAAUGGGCGGCAAGCCUGAUGCAGCCAUGCCGCGUGUAUGAAGAAGGCCUUCGGGUUGUAAGUACUUUCAGCGAGGAGGAAGGCAUUAAGGUUAAUAACCUUAGUGAUUGACGUUACUCGCAGAAGAAGCACCGGCUAACUCCGUGCCAGCAGCCGCGGUAAUACGGAGGGUGCAAGCGUUAAUCGGAAUUACUGGGCGUAAAGCGCACGCAGGCGGUCUGUCAAGUCGGAUGUGAAAUCCCCGGGCUCAACCUGGGAACUGCAUUCGAAACUGACAGGCUAGAGUCUUGUAGA
Molecule: ribosomal RNA, 309 nt
Filed under: uncultured Enterobacteriaceae bacterium
Lineage: Bacteria; Pseudomonadati; Pseudomonadota; Gammaproteobacteria; Enterobacterales; Enterobacteriaceae
Description: bacterial SSU rRNA
Rfam family: Bacterial small subunit ribosomal RNA
Source: RNAcentral